RNAcentral lists this unclassified non-coding RNA (370 nucleotides) under soil metagenome. Its description in RNAcentral is "partial contains 5.8S ribosomal RNA, internal transcribed spacer 2, and large subunit ribosomal RNA". The stretch from base 1 to 119 matches the Rfam family "5.8S ribosomal RNA", at positions 35 to 154 of the family's 154-position model. The record is from RNAcentral.
GAUGAAGAACGCAGCGAAAUGCGAUAAGUAAUGCGAAUUGCAGAAUCCGUGAGUCAUCGAAUCUUUGAACGCACAUUGCGCCCCCUGGAAUUCCGGGGGGCAUGCCUGUUCGAGCGUCUCAGGGACGAACCCUCGCGCGGGUGUACGCGCGGUCGUGGCUGCGGUGGCGUGCCCGAGGCGGCGGCCACCGCGCUGGAAUCCAUGGGCGGACGCCUGCCGCGUGGCCGAGCGUGAUAUGACGCAUUGGCGCUCGCACGCGGAGAGGCUGCCAGCCCUGGCCCGUCUGUCGGGCGGGGGAGAGCAAGACACGUGAACUCCUCGAAUCAGGUAGGGAUACCCGCUGAACUUAAGCAUAUCAAUAAGCGGAGGA